RNAcentral lists this ribosomal RNA (505 nucleotides) under uncultured bacterium. RNAcentral describes it as "bacterial SSU rRNA". It matches the Rfam family "Bacterial small subunit ribosomal RNA", at positions 791 to 1301 of the family's 1533-position model. The record is from RNAcentral.
UAGUCCACGCCCUAAACGAUGUUUACUCGAUGUUUGACUCGUAGAUUUGAGCAUCCAAGCGAAAGCGUUAAGUAAACCACCUGGGGAGUACGUUCGCAAGAAUGAAACUCAAAGGAAUUGACGGGGGCCCGCACAAGCGGAGGAACAUGUGGUUUAAUUCGAUGAUACGCGAGGAACCUUACCUGGACUUAAAUGUAGAUUGCAUAGAGUGGAGACAUUCUUUUCUUCGGACUAUCUACAAGGUGCUGCAUGGUUGUCGUCAGCUCGUGCCGUGAGGUGUCGGGUUAAGUCCCAUAACGAGCGCAACCCCUAUCGUUAGUUGCUAGCAGGUAAUGCUGAGAACUCUAGCGAGACUGCCACCGUAAGGUGUGAGGAAGGUGGGGAUGACGUCAAAUCAGCACGGCCCUUACGUCCAGGGCUACACACGUGUUACAAUGGCGGGUACAAAGGGCAGCUACAUAGCGAUAUGAUGCUAAUCUCAAAAACCUGUCUCAGUUCGGAUAGG